CAGUAGCCACGGGAAUACGAAGGGGGCUAGCGUUGUUCGGAAUUACUGGGCGUAAAGCGCACGUAGGCGGAUAUUUAAGUCAGGGGUGAAAUCCCAGAGCUCAACUCUGGAACUGCCUUUGAUACUGGGUAUCUUGAGUAUGGAAGAGGUGAGUGGAAUUCUGAGUGUAGAGGUGAAAUUCGUAGAUAUUCGGAGGAACACCAGUGGCGAAGGCGGCUCACUGGUCCAUUACUGACGCUGAGGUGCGAAAGCGUGGGGAGCAAACAGGAUUAGAUACCCCAGUAGUCCCUGUCUCUUAUAC
Molecule: ribosomal RNA, 301 nt
Filed under: uncultured bacterium
Lineage: Bacteria
Description: partial 16S ribosomal RNA
Rfam family: Bacterial small subunit ribosomal RNA
Source: RNAcentral